This 472-nucleotide ribosomal RNA is filed under the name uncultured bacterium. RNAcentral's name for it is "bacterial SSU rRNA". It matches the Rfam family "Bacterial small subunit ribosomal RNA", at positions 28 to 496 of the family's 1533-position model. The record is from RNAcentral.
GAUGAACGCUAGCGGCAGGCUUAACACAUGCAAGUCGAGGGGCAUCGAGAGUAGCAAUACUUGUCGGCGACCGGCGCAAGGGUGCGUAACACGUGAGCAACAUACCCGUUUCAGGAGGAUAACCGGAGGAAACUCUGCCUAAUACUCCAUGACAUCAUCAAACGGCAUCGUUUGAUGAUUAAAGAUUUAUCGGAAACGGCUUGGCUCGCGGGACAUUAGCUUGUUGGUGAGGUAACGGCUCACCAAGGCUACGAUGUCUAGGGGUUCUGAGAGGAAGGUCCCCCACACUGGAACUGAGACACGGUCCAGACUCCUACGGGAGGCAGCAGUGAGGAAUAUUGGACAAUGGUCGGAAGACUGAUCCAGCCAUGCCGCGUGAAGGUUACUGUCCUAUGGAUAUUAAACUUCUUUUGUAUGAGAGCAAUAAGGUGCACGCGUGCACCGAUGAGAGUAUCAUACGAAUAAGCAUCGG